Molecule: unclassified non-coding RNA, 371 nt
Filed under: Bombus terrestris (buff-tailed bumblebee)
Lineage: Eukaryota; Metazoa; Arthropoda; Insecta; Hymenoptera; Apidae
Description: misc RNA ENSBTSG00005019643.1
Source: RNAcentral
AAACAUUUUUAUUAGAACAUCAAUAAAAAAAAAUGAAGACAAAUGUUGCAUCUAACGGUGCACUGUGUUAAAACACUUUAAACAUAAAUGUGGCUCGUCAAUACAAUCUGGACAAUAGGUGGUUACCUUUUUGGUCCGAUUCUGAGCGAUUCUUGAUCCUAACUGUUUAACAUUUUUUUUAUAACAUUCUCUGGAAAAUUUUCGUGCCAGGUACGCUUGUCCUUCUUUCUUCUGUAUCUCGUGUGGCAAUCUCUAUCGAAUAAAUAUAUUUGACGGUUCUGGUGAAUGGCACAGUGCAAGGUGCAUCACGAGUGCCAUUCUAAAAUCUGGUACCUUGAUUUUUGUUCUUGUUGCUUGUUUAUAGAGUAUCA